UGGGGAAAAUAAAAAUAAUUU
This 21-nucleotide non-coding RNA is filed under the name Caenorhabditis elegans. Lineage: Eukaryota; Metazoa; Nematoda; Chromadorea; Rhabditida; Rhabditidae. The record is from RNAcentral.